UUUUGGCCUUUUCUUCCUCGCGUUUGCGUUCCUUCUCUUUAGCCUUUUCCUGCAAGUGUGCAACAUAUUCUUCAAAAAUCUCUCUGCUUAAACUCUCUUCCCCAAUUGAUCUAUACUCCUGGCUUUCUUCAAAAAGUUGUUUGGAAUCAUCCCAACUAGAAGAUGCAGUUAUCUCCUUGUAAGUAUACAAUAAUUUAGUGAAGUCAUCAGCAAGCCGUUGCCGCUUUUUAGCUUCUUUCUCCUCCUUCUCCUUGGCUCUUUCAAGUAGCUCAUCAUAUAAAAGCUUCAGGUUUAUUUCUGAUAUUGGUGGGGAACUAACAUCAUCAGAAAGAGCAGCUUUAAAGUCUUCAAAUGUCCAUGUUGAUGACAAGUUAAUCUUCCCCGUUUUCAUUGCAUCCUUUAUACGAGUUUUAUCAUCAUGGUACUGUUUCUCUAACUCUUCAGCAACACCAU
This 453-nucleotide unclassified non-coding RNA is filed under the name Hevea brasiliensis (rubber tree). Lineage: Eukaryota; Viridiplantae; Streptophyta; Magnoliopsida; Malpighiales; Euphorbiaceae. The record is from RNAcentral.